Molecule: ribosomal RNA, 585 nt
Filed under: Streptomyces sp. 19G-1
Lineage: Bacteria; Bacillati; Actinomycetota; Actinomycetes; Kitasatosporales; Streptomycetaceae
Description: bacterial SSU rRNA
Rfam family: Bacterial small subunit ribosomal RNA
Source: RNAcentral
CCUGAGAGGGCGACCGGCCACACUGGGACUGAGACACGGCCCAGACUCCUACGGGAGGCAGCAGUGGGGAAUAUUGCACAAUGGGCGAAAGCCUGAUGCAGCGACGCCGCGUGAGGGAUGACGGCCUUCGGGUUGUAAACCUCUUUCAGCAGGGAAGAAGCGAAAGUGACGGUACCUGCAGAAGAAGCGCCGGCUAACUACGUGCCAGCAGCCGCGGUAAUACGUAGGGCGCAAGCGUUGUCCGGAAUUAUUGGGCGUAAAGAGCUCGUAGGCGGCUUGUCACGUCGGAUGUGAAAGCCCGGGGCUUAACCCCGGGUCUGCAUUCGAUACGGGCUAGCUAGAGUGUGGUAGGGGAGAUCGGAAUUCCUGGUGUAGCGGUGAAAUGCGCAGAUAUCAGGAGGAACACCGGUGGCGAAGGCGGAUCUCUGGGCCAUUACUGACGCUGAGGAGCGAAAGCGUGGGGAGCGAACAGGAUUAGAUACCCUGGUAGUCCACGCCGUAAACGUUGGGAACUAGGUGUUGGCGACAUUCCACGUCGUCGGUGCCGCAGCUAACGCAUUAAGUUCCCCGCCUGGGGAGUACGGA